CCAGCCAGCGACUAGAUCAAUGCCGCCCAGUCUGAUCCCUGUGAUGGGAAGGUGUUUUCUGAGCUUUG
This 68-nucleotide small nucleolar RNA is filed under the name Bos grunniens (domestic yak). Lineage: Eukaryota; Metazoa; Chordata; Mammalia; Artiodactyla; Bovidae. The record is from RNAcentral.